CAAAGUACCCGGAAGCCCGGUGGGACCUAACCCCUCGGGGAGGCAGCCGUCUAAGGUAGGGUUGAUGAUUGGGGUG
RNAcentral lists this ribosomal RNA (76 nucleotides) under uncultured bacterium. RNAcentral's name for it is "partial 16S ribosomal RNA". The record is from RNAcentral.